Oxyura jamaicensis (ruddy duck) is the source of this 6692-nucleotide long non-coding RNA. RefSeq lists it as uncharacterized. NCBI's taxonomy places the organism in Eukaryota, Metazoa, Chordata, Aves, Anseriformes, Anatidae. The record is from RefSeq and is a predicted model, not a curated record. The transcript has 2 exons.
CUGGGUGUGUUUGGGAAUUAUAGAGUUGCAGAAGCACUUUCUCCACCAAACCAAAGAUUGCCCAAUUGGCCUGUUUUUUGUUAUUAUAUGGUUUGGGGUUUUAUAGAAUGAGCAUGUCUUCUUCCUUCCUGGGAUUUCACAGAUUCUGGAAGAACUUUUAACCAAAUUUUCUGCCUGCCUGCAUGACUAGUGCAGAAUGCAUAAUCUCUGUAACUCGAAAAUCAUCUCUUGGGGGUUUUGCUGCCUACCCAACCCCUUGGUUUGCAAGUUUUUUAGAGGAGUGAUGCAACUGAUUUGUUUAAUGUCUGGGCCAGUUGUGCCCUGGAAUUAAAUAAUCCUGAUAAACAUCCCAAACUGCAAUGCCCUCAUUGACUCUGCUGGGGUUUCCUGGUUGUGCUCCGAUAGGAAACAUCUGCCAUUAUCAUGCUAGAAAUACCAGUUUCUUUGGAAGAGGAAGCUGGGUUCUUGCUGGAUGCAAUUACCCCUGUUUUCCACAAACAACCUCCCACUCCGUGUGCGCAACGCUGCUGCUGAGUCACCCAGCAUGGAGAUGGGGAUGGGGAGGACAAACUCCCCUGAAGAAGCUGAUAAAUACAGAUGAAAAAAUGUUGCCUGGAAGCAAUAAACCAAUAGAAAUUCCAGCCCUGGCAGGUUCAGGGCACACUCAUUUGUGCAGAUGCAGCUUCUCGCUGUGGGGUUCAUGGCAGUACAGGAACAGCCCUGGCUGCAGGUGGGGCUGGGGUCACACGGAUCUGGACACAUGGGGCACGUGGGAUGGGGAUGAGGAGCUACCACGGGGUGUUUCUAAUGGACAGUUAUUCGUGUGUCUGCCUUUGGCCAUGUAUACUUGUGCGAGAAGUCACCGCCCUUGGCCAAGUGCCUGUUAAUCCCUGUGCACCUCAUUCGUAAAGUGCUGGGUGAGCAAGAGGAAAAAUUAAAGCUCCUGUGGACAGGACCACUGUCCUAACUCUCAGCUUUUCUAUGGCCCCAAUCUUUCCAUCCCUUUCCUGUCAUCUCCCCUUACCAUCCUGAAAGAGAAUUAAAAACAAAAAAAAAGAGCACUAACCAGGGAGAGGAGCUGCAGAGACGGUGUGCGACGUGCACCCAGGACCCGAGGGACAAGGACACUGCAGGGGCCGACUUCUGACCUCUGCUGAGUGCUGGAGAUGCCACAGCCUGUCACUGUCUGAUAGCUGCCAGCAUGCCAAAUGCCAAGUCAUUCUUCAGCAAUGAGAUGUUGAGCUGAUUAAGGUUUUAAUUACAACAAGGAAGCAGCACGUGCAAGGAUGGUUUCAGAUGAGAAAGACGUGGCAGCUGCCAAGACAGAGCUGCUCCCGGCUGUAUCCCAUCAACCUUUCUGGUGAAUGGCGCUGAGCCUUCAGUUUGCUCUGCUGCAGGGCUAGGAGAGGAAAAAGGAUUCAUGCAUGGCCCAAGCUGUGGUAAGUGGGGCUUUUUUUCAGGAGUGCUCAGCUACCUGUGAAACCCAAGCCUUGCCAUAGGAAUGGGGCAGAGUUCAGGGCAACUGGUCAGCAUUCCUGGCAUUUACUGCACUCAUAAACAGCCCUGGCAGCGACAGAAAGAGUGCAAACUUUGAACUUAUAAAGCAUCAACACCGAGACCAAGAUGGAGUAGAAAACACACAAAAUGCUCAGAAAUGUGUUUCCCCAGCACGUAGCCACAGCCCUUUGGUAGCUGUUUGCCAGCACCACAGCAUCUGCGCGGCCCCUCGUGACGGAGAUCAAGGGCAGCUCCAUCGAGUGGGAAAGGGGGCAGAGGAGUUUUCUCCCUCCCAGGGGACACAGAGCUCCCAGCCAACUGCAGAAGCUGCCCGUGCUGGUGGACAGGCACAAAUCAAAUGAAAAAUGCUCUGUGGUGAGCACCUGCCCCAGCACACUGUGAUGUCCCCCAGGUGGGAGCUCUGCACCAAGGGGUAGAGCCGAUGUUUGCUCGGAUCCUGAUGCACACAGACUUGCCGGCGCUUUAGAUUUCACAGCCGGGUCCAAUCUCUCCUUUAGACCUUGAUCCUGCAAGAAACACUAUAAGGAUGGAUUUUAGAAAGCAGAUAGAGCUGGCGAGAUCUGGGCCUUAUCUAAGAUAGCAAAAUAAUCAGCCCUAUGAUUUCUUCCCCGUGUUUACAGUGGCAAUAUUUUUCCAAAGUUCAAAGUCUUCCUCUGCAGAAAACAUUUGACAUGCUUUGCCGGGAUACUGUAGUUUUGGUGCAACGAACAAUUAAAAAAAUCAAUUUCUAGAGCAAUAUUUUCUAUGCUAGUAAUCUCUGAACUAAUUACAGGGCUGGAAGAUCAAUAACUAUCUGGAAAUCUUUCCAAUACAGCUAACUAAGCACACUACAUAUCAUCCUGCAGUAUUUCCUUCACAUACACGUGAUAUUCCUGAUUAUCUCCCAGAUCAUACAGGCAGAUGAAAUCGCUGUCAGUAAAUGUCUGUACUUUGUUACGCUGCAGUGCCAACAUUUACCAAAAUCCAAAGGGGAAAUUGGGUAGAGUGAAUAGCACAGUGCAUGAGGUCUGGGGCAACACUCAGUGCCAAGGCUUUAAGCCAAUAACAAAAAGAGCUAAAAGGCUUGGUCAGUUUAACAGGAAUCUUUCUUUGAAAAGAUUACAAAACAAAGUCAUUAAAAGUUCAAGCCUCAGUUAUAUUGUUUUUUUUCAUCAGACUUUAUUUUUUUAAAAAAAUGUAAAACCUUCAGUGACUGAACGUAACCUCUUUCCCUGGUCUCCUAGCAAGGGAGAAGAAGUACAAGUGGGUGGUUCAAUGGUGCAAUCGCCCUUUAAAAACGCGAGCACAGAGGAAGGGUGUUGCUCCGAUGAUACGAUCUACCCUUGCUGUACAAACACACGGUGCUGACCAUGGCAACUCGCUUCCAGCCAAAGCCCAAAGCACUGCACCGAGGCUCUGCCCCACAGCCCCUGCACGAGCGGUGCUGGGAUGCGGUGCGCAAUGCUCCAGCCUCACUUCUACCCUGUGAGGGCCUAGCGAGCUCAGCCUGCUCUUCCUUGGCACGGUGGCAUUCACGCUGUCACUGACCGAGGAGCAAAUAUUCCCAUCAAACACGGUGCCAAAAGCACAGCAGGUGGAGAAGCAAACCCACGGUGCAGGUGAUUUUUCCUAUGCCCAGCUACGUGCACCACAGCGAUGAGUUCUGAGCUGCCGUGCUACCGUGAAAUAUUAGCUAACAUUUCAUAUGCUUUUCUCUGAUUAUUCUGCAUAGCUUUUUCCCUGCAGUGAAAGGACCAGAUGAAAAGUGGGACCAGGGUGAGAUCAAACCCUCGCUGCUACCAUGGGCUGGGGCAUUCCCGCAGCUCCCCACUGCAGCACUCUGCGGCGCCGGAGCCUGUCCCGGAGCAGAAAUCCAGGUCCAGUACCCAGUACAGGACUCCCUGUCUGGCUGGGGAGCUGCAGCCCAGUGACACACAGAAAGGAGAGCCGUGGACUGCUGAGAGCCUGCCUGAGGUGGCAUUUACCCGGAUUUGGUGACAGCACUGCCCUGGCUGUGUCCACAAUGUGCACCCUGUGGUGUUGCUCUACCAACCUCAGCUGCCAAAAAGCAGCUGAAAGAGAAAAAUAGUGUGCGUAUCAUCAUCACAGGCACACAACUCCUCUCCUGCCUGCUCAGCCUGAAGUGACCUUGGCGCUCCCUCAGCCCGGCUGGCUGUUGGGGGCUGUUCAGACUGUGGGAAGGUGCCUACAGCUGCUGCACUGAGCUUCAGCAACUGAUCUCCUUGGAUAAUGAAGUCUUUGGACUUUCCCAUGAUUUUUUCCCAUGUAACGUCACCUUUCAUUCAAAUAAAACUCGAGUGGAGUGCAAGAAAUCACUUUGUUUCUCUCCAUCUUAGGAAGAAAGGGCAGUGCAUCACCUGAUGGAAAGGGCCCAACCAAAAAGAGCUCACGCUCUCCAGAAAUCUUUCAGGAAACAGCUGAAAGAGAAGCUACAGCUCUCCCUCCAGUCUUUUAAUAGUACCACAUCACACUUGGUACAUGCUCAGCAGCAGAGCUCCUGGAUUUAUUUCCUGGCAAUGCAGAGCAAUGGCCACGCAGUGUGGUGCUGGUAGGGGUGCAGUGGCUGCACCAUGGAGAGGCGAGCAGGACAUGCAGGGCAGCGAUCGCUCCCUCCACGAUGUUCCCCUGGCUGCUGGCAAUCCCCAGCUCAGGGACAUCCCGAACAAAAGGUUUGCAUUGAGAUUAUCGGGUUUAACAGCCGCCGAGGCAUAUGUCAUUCAGGAAUUUGUCUAAUCCCUCUUUGAACACGGUUAUACUUUCAGGCUCUGCAAAGCCCUCUGGAAACGAUUGCCAUUGUUUAAUCAGGAGCUGGGCAAGAGUUUGCUUACAGCUUGCUACCUGAUCCUUUCAUUUAAGGGAUCCCUUGCUCUCGUAAUGAUAAAUACACCUGGCAAAGCUGAGCAGGACAGAUACUGAUGCUCUACUUUGCAAAACCAAGGGGAUCUGACAGAGAUAGAGCAACAAAAAGUCUGGUAAAAAUCACAGGGGAGAUUUUCAGAAGUGCAUUUCCCACUGCAAAGCAGCACUUGAAAAAAAACAUCCGUAUUGGCUGUUUGUUUUGUGUUUCCUGUGAAUGAGUUUCUGGCUCAAAUUAGAGUUAUAAUACAACUCUAAAGAGCAUUUUUUAGAAAAAGAAUCCAGUUCUGAACUUCCUUCCUAGAGAUUUGUUGCUUGUUCUGCAACAGGAGAUGUGAAUCAUGGAAGUAUUUAUAACAGCAAUAUUAGGAAAUGAUCAUUAAGGCACCAGAAAUCUGUUAGACAGCGUGUCUUUAAAUAAAUUGUUUAUGACUAUGCUAACCCAAUCUCGUAAGUGCAUGCACACUUAACGAUAUUAAAAAUGUACAUGUUGCCAGAACCGGACUGCCUAUGAUGAAUAUGUCACAGCUCCCCUGCUUUCCUAGUCAGCUGCAUGGAUCUUGGAGAAACGAGGACAGUUUCGUUUGAUCGGUGUUAAUGAGGUUUGUGUCUGCACAGAUUUAGCCCAAAGAGCAUCGCAAUCAUCUCAAGUCCCAGGUGACUUACAGGACUGAACUUGAAGAAACAUCGUUCAGCAGUCUCGGUCGAUGGAGCGAUUCCAGCUCGCAGAGUGCCUCCAGCAAACUGACUUCCCUUCUGUGGCACUGCAUUUGCAUUCAUUAAACCCCAAGUUUUAAUGAUUUAUGUAGACUGAUAAAAGCGAGCAGCCCAGAAGUAUGUGUCUGAACACUCCCACAGCUCCUGACAGAGAUGCAACACGUGGUAAAUCCAUCCCGGUGUGAAAUAUUAAAUGGCCAGCUAGCACACACACACAAUCAGUGCAGGUAUAUCUGCGUGUGUUAACAUGACCUGUAAAAUUGGGAUUUCAGACAAACUAAAGUGAUCACAGCCUCCAAACCCAAGGAAAAGGUAAUCCAUAUAAUAGGAAUGCUAUAACAAUGAUAAUGUUAGUUAAUAAUAACAUUAAUAUGAUCACCAAUCUCCUUGCCAUUGUUUAUUACUGUCAUUGCCAUGGUAGUUCUCAGCUCUGGCAAUGGAUCGAGGCCUAGGUGGCCUCAGCCUUGUGCUCACCAGUGAGUUCCAGCCAAGCACAAUCGUGGUACCCUUUGAUUUGAAAAGAAAAGCCACCAGCAGCAUCAGCUGCUUGCACAGCUCCUGAUCCAGGCUGGCCGAGCUCGACAGAGGCGGCAGCAAAAGGAGAUGGCCCCAGAUGAGAGAUGAGCAGAGAUGAGGGAGAUUUGCACCAGAUGCUGCCAAGGAGGACGACACAGAUCACAGCUGCACAGAGCCCUGGUGGUACAGGGGACGGAGCUGUGUCUCCUGGUCACCCUUCCUCACUGUGGUGCGAGGGCAGGUCUCUUUUUGAGGAGGCAUCUGUGGCUCACAGCAGGACAGGAACUGCAGUCUGGCGAGGACUUUUGCAUCUCUUCUGCAACGCACCUUUACUCAUGCACACUUCAUUGUCUUGCACACACCUCACGCCUUUCUGUAGCUGUGGUGAAUGAAUCUUGGUCCUCUCCUAUCCCCUGAGACUGCUACAGAGGUCCCUGUGCAUGAGCCUGGUCCUUCUGGGAGGAUGCUUGGCUCUGGACAUGAUGGGGACACUAAAACUAACGUGCUCCUGGAACAGACACCUUGAGACAGGGGAAGCAGAGAUGGCAGACUGAUUUCUUCCAGGCCACGUCUGUCCUUCUUUUCCAUAUCUUCUCCCUUUGGCACCUUAUCAAAGCCAUCACUAGUUCAUGCAAAUCCAUAGGACAAGCUCCACAUCCUUACGUCUCCAUCACUUAAGAAGUAAAACAUUUUGAGAUGCUGAAUGAAAAAUUCUCCAGAAAUUAAGACAAAUAAUUCCUCUGCACCUCUGAGGACAAGCUCACCAGAGGCAGGAUGGACCAAAAGCAGCUGGAGACAUGAGCAAAGUGGGGAUACAUCACCCUGAAGCUGGAGCCAGAGACGAGCAGGGUUUGGGUGAUGGGGCUGAGCAGGAAACGCGGGGGGGUUUCCCCAGCUCGGAUGCUUUUGAUGCACCAUUUCACUUUUGCACAUCUGCUGUCCUUUUCUCCCCGUUUAUUUGAAACAUAAACGGUUUAAAACGGGGUCUUAUUCAUCAGUGAUUUACAGCAGCAGCCAAAACAAGGUCCUAAUUUCAGCACAUGGCUUAUCAAACUAUUUGUAUAUAAUAAACCAGUAUCAGUGUA